This 253-nucleotide ribosomal RNA is filed under the name uncultured bacterium. Its description in RNAcentral is "partial 16S ribosomal RNA". It matches the Rfam family "Bacterial small subunit ribosomal RNA", at positions 524 to 776 of the family's 1533-position model. The record is from RNAcentral.
UACGGAGGAUCCAAGCGUUAUCCGGAUUUAUUGGGUUUAAAGGGUGCGUAGGCGGACGUUUAAGUCAGUGGUGAAAGUUUGCAGCUCAACUGUAAAAUUGCCAUUGAAACUGAAUGUCUUGAGUGUAAAUGAGGUAGGCGGAAUGUGUUGUGUAGCGGUGAAAUGCUUAGAUAUGACACAGAACACCGAUUGCGAAGGCAGCUUACUAAGAUACAACUGACGCUGAGGCACGAAAGCGUGGGGAUCGAACAGG